CGUCAGGGCAUGCGCGCGCGCAGGCGCGCGAAUCGGCGGAUGUAUACGCUGCGCCGGUCGGGGAAGUAGUCCGCCCGCUAGCGGAGUGGGGGCGCUGGCAUUCGCGUUCGCAGCGCUGUGGUGUUCGGAGCGGCCUGGUCUGGAGAGAAGAGAAUAGAAGAGUGAACGAACCGUUGGGUCGAAGUGUUUGUAGCUGCGGCGCGUGACUGAAACUCGGCGUGCGGAAGCCUUUCGACUUCAGUCCACGUCCUGAAACGUCGACAACCUUUUAAAACGGGGCUUUUACGCGCGUGAAGUUCACUUCGCGGUCGUGUUCGUGCCAUGUUUUCGAGCCGCUCGUAGCAACUUUCUCUUCUGCGGACAUUGUUUAAGACUUCAGUUUCGUUCGACGCUCCGCGCGUUUUGUGUUCUAGUCGUCUGUUGUGUUUUACGGCACUAACGUCUCUUGUGAAGAUGGGGAAGUGCAGCAGAGGCAUGAGUGUUGCUGUUGUGUGGCUGCUGGCUGUAAUAACAGGUAAGAUGCUGUCAAUUCCCAUUCCGAGCUACUAGUUGGUGUUGGUGUUUUUUGUAAGGUAAGUGUCUGCUAAUUUUAUUAAGUUAAACUAUGCACGCGUGCAAAGAAAAAGCUGGCACUAUAAUAAUCUCUUAUUAUAGAACUGUAACAGAAGUGUGUCUGUUCGAGAACGUGAACACACAACUGGACCAAUUUUUAUAAAACUUUUUUGUUAAAAAUAUAUGAUUGUACUGAAGGCGCAUCUCCAACAAUUGAACAACAUUUUUACAACCAAGUGUAACCCCUAUAAGGCGCGUCCCCUUUUCAAAUACAUUCAUAUUAAGGAGGGGGAAUUAAUAUUAAGGGGGGCGGAAACUCAUAUUAAUAUUUAUAUUAAAGGGGGUAUUUAUAUUUAAAAAAAGGGGGGGGGGGGUCAGUUUUGAGUGGCCAUUGCACAUGAUGCCACGCGGGCAGUGUGUAAUAUACCAUAAGGAUUUGAAGAUAAAAAGUAUAAGAUUUAAAUUUGGGGGAACAAUUUAGGAUUUUGUUUUUGGUUUGUUCGUUUUUGUUUACACAAAUUUACAUUUUUGCUCAGAUAUCGAUGAAAUUUUGCAUACUUGACCUUCGAUACACGAGAAAGGUCACCGUUCAUGUGAGAUUUCGAAAAAAAAAAAAAAAAAAAUCCCUAAAGCAGAAUUUACUUAUUAUUGAUGAAAUUUCGCAAUUGCAUUGUUUAUGCUUUCUUCGUCAUUAUUGUCCAUCUCGUAAAGGAAAAUGAGGUAUUGUGAUUUCAUCAAGGUAAAAUUUAUCCUCGAACCACAAAAACAAUUAAACAAAAGCCUUCGCAUAACCACUUAAAAAUAUUCGUAAACGGUUUUGUUAUGAAUUAAAUCUCUUAUGCACCUGACGGUUUCUCUUCCUUUACUAAUUUUUUUUAAUAAUUAAUCUCGCUUUUUAUUGAAUGGUAAGACAUCAACAAUACCCUGAAAUUGCGCGAGCGAAGCUUACGUAUACAAAACGGUGAGGUAAAAGGAAAGGAAGAUUAUAAUGUGUGCAUCCCCAACCACCUCAUUUUUGUAUAUAGCCAAGAAAUAAUACUUUGUAGAAAUAUGUUUUAAAAGUAUUUUACUUUGUUACUCUUGUUGGAGUGUUUGAUUGAUGUAUGUUAAAACUCAGCUGGCGUGCGACAGUGAAGAAGGCGUCAAGAUAUAUUUAGACAGGCUACGUUUAAUUCUCGUUCUCGCACGCCUAAUUUAAUUUUUUUUUACUAUUUAUAUUUCAGGGCUUUUAAUUUUUCGUUACUAUUUACUUUUCGAAAAGACCAUUUAGUAAAUAUCCGGUGAGAAUUUUAUACUCAAAACAAUAAGAAAA
Bacillus rossius redtenbacheri is the source of this 1864-nucleotide long non-coding RNA. RefSeq lists it as uncharacterized. The transcript is spliced from 2 exons. Lineage: Eukaryota; Metazoa; Arthropoda; Insecta; Phasmatodea; Bacillidae. The record is from RefSeq and is a predicted model, not a curated record.